AACGCUGGCGGCAGGCUUAACACAUGCAAGUCGAGCGGGGAAAGGUAGCUUGCUACCUGACCUAGCGGCGGACGGGUGAGUAAUGCUUAGGAAUCUGCCUAUUAGUGGGGGACAACAUUCCGAAAGGAAUGCUAAUACCGCAUACGCCCUACGGGGGAAAGCAGGGGAUCUUCGGACCUUGCGCUAAUAGAUGAGCCUAAGCCAGAUUAGCUAGUUGGUGGGGUAAAGGCCUACCAAGGCGACGAUCUGUAGCGGGUCUGAGAGGAUGAUCCGCCACACUGGGACUGAGACACGGCCCAGACUCCUACGGGAGGCAGCAGUGGGGAAUAUUGGACAAUGGGCGAAAGCCUGAUCCAGCCAUGCCGCGUGUGUGAAGAAGGCCUUUUGGUUGUAAAGCACUUUAAGCGAGGAGGAGGCUACUUAGAUUAAUACUCUAGGAUAGUGGACGUUACUCGCAGAAUAAGCACCGGCUAACUCUGUGCCAGCAGCCGCGGUAAUACAGAGGGUGCGAGCGUUAAUCGGAUUUACUGGGCGUAAAGCGUGCGUAGGCGGCUUUUUAAGUCGGAUGUGAAAUCCCUGAGCUUAACUUAGGAAUUGCAUUCGAUACUGGGAAGCUAGAGUAUGGGAGAGGAUGGUAGAAUUCCAGGUGUAGCGGUGAAAUGCGUAGAGAUCUGGA
This 676-nucleotide ribosomal RNA is filed under the name uncultured bacterium. Its description in RNAcentral is "bacterial SSU rRNA". It matches the Rfam family "Bacterial small subunit ribosomal RNA", at positions 32 to 702 of the family's 1533-position model. The record is from RNAcentral.